GAUGAAGAACGUAGCGAAAUGCGAUAAGUAAUGUGAAUUGCAGAAUUCAGUGAAUCAUCGAAUCUUUGAACGCAUCUUGCGCUCCUUGGUAUUCCGAGGAGCAUGCCUGUUUGAGUGUCAUCAAGUUCUCAAACUGCAUCCAUUUGAAGGGUGUGGAUUUGGAUUAUGGAGUUUGCAGGCUCUUUGAUUGAGGUCUGCUCCUCUGAAAUGUAUUAGUGGCGAUGUGGAAAAGCUACUGUGGGUGUGAUAAAUAUCUAUGCCUUAUGCAGUGUUCUGCUAUACCGCUUGCAGGGAGAAAUUUCAUUUUUGACAAACUUGACCUCAAAUCAGGUAGGACUACCCGCUGAACUUAAGCAUAUCAAUAAGCGGAGGA
This 373-nucleotide unclassified non-coding RNA is filed under the name soil metagenome. RNAcentral's name for it is "partial contains 5.8S ribosomal RNA, internal transcribed spacer 2, and large subunit ribosomal RNA". The stretch from base 1 to 120 matches the Rfam family "5.8S ribosomal RNA", at positions 35 to 154 of the family's 154-position model. The record is from RNAcentral.